This 1384-nucleotide ribosomal RNA is filed under the name metagenome. Its description in RNAcentral is "bacterial LSU rRNA". It matches the Rfam family "Bacterial large subunit ribosomal RNA", at positions 1467 to 2925 of the family's 2925-position model. The record is from RNAcentral.
UAGGGACACAUUUGAAGUCUCGGAGCCGGGUGUUGGUUCCGGUAGCGAUCGAGGGAAGUUAGUACCGAAGUCCGGGAUGGAAGAUGGCGAGAAAAGCUGUGUGUAUUUCUGCGGUGCCCGUACCGCAAACCGACACAGGUAGGUAGGAAGAAGAUUCUAAGGCCAACGGGAGAAGGGUUGUUAAGGAACUCGGCAAAUUGACCCCGUAACUUCGGGAGAAGGGGUGCUCUAGAGGUAGAGCCGCAGAGAAUCGGCCCAAGCAACUGUUUACCAAAAACACAGGUUUGUGCUAAAUCGAAAGAUGACGUAUACGAGCUGACGCCUGCCCGGUGCUGGAAGGUUAAGAGGAGAUGUGCAAGCAUUGAAUCGUAGCCCCAGUGAACGGCGGCCGUAACGAUAACGGUCCUAAGGUAGCGAAAUUCCUUGUCAGGUAAGUUCUGACCCGCAUGAAAGGCGUAAUGAUUUGGGCACUGUCUCGACAGCCCGCCCGGCGAAAUUGUAGUACCGGUGAAGAUGCCGGUUACCCGCGACAGGACGGAAAGACCCCAUGGAGCUUUACUGUAGCCUAAUAUUGGGUUUCGAUGUUGCAUGCACAGGAAAGAUGGGACACUGGGAAGCAAGUGCUUUGGCAUUUGUGGAGUGGCCGUUGGGAUACCAUCCUUGCGAUAUUGGAAUUCUAACCUGCGCCUUUGAAUCAAGGCGGGGGACAUUGUUAGGUGGGCAGUUUGAUUGGGGCGGUCGCCUCCUAAAGAGUAACGGAGGCGUUCAAAGGUUCGCUCAGCUUGAACGGAAAUCAAGCAAAAGAGUGCAAACGCAGAAGCGAGCCUAACUGCGAGACUGACGGGUCGAGCAGUAACGAAAGUUGGAGAUAGUGAUCCGGUGGUAUGUGAGUGGAAAUGCCAUCGCUCAACGGAUAAAAGUUACCCUGGGGAUAACAGGCUGAUCUCCCCCAAGAGUCCACAUCGACGGGGAGGUUUGGCACCUCGAUGUCGGCUCAUCGCAUCCUGGGGCUGUAUUCGGUCCCAAGGGUUUGGCUGUUCGCCAAUUAAAGCGGUACGCGAGCUGGGUUCAGAACGUCGUGAGACAGUUCGGUCCCUAUCUGUCGUGGGCGCAGGAUAUUUGAUGGGAGCUGUUCCUAGUACGAGAGGACCGGAGCGGACGUACCUCUGGCGCACCAGUUGUUCUGCCAAGGGCAUAGCUGGGCAACUAUGUACGGAUCGGAUAAACGCUGAAAGCAUCUAAGCGUGAAGCCGACCCAAAGAUAAGAUAUCCCAUUGUUUCAAACAAGUAAGACCCCUUGAAGACUACAAGGUUGAUAGGCAUGAUGUGUAAGUGGAGUGAUCCAUUCAGCAAGCAUGUACUAAUAGGUCGAGGGCUUGAUCAA